Molecule: non-coding RNA, 271 nt
Organism: Camelina sativa (false flax)
Lineage: Eukaryota; Viridiplantae; Streptophyta; Magnoliopsida; Brassicales; Brassicaceae
Source: RefSeq, a predicted model, not a curated record
GGAACUUGCUUUCAAAUCUAAGGAUGGUGACUCCAACACUGACAUAACUAGGAGUGCAAAUGAUGUUGAGGCUUCUGGAGAACACAAUAGGCCUGACACAAGCUCACCUGAUUGGAAUAAGAGAAAUGACAGAAGAAGCAGAGAAAGAAGUGAAAAGGAGCAAGAAAUGGAUAGAUACGAGAGGGAGGCUGAGCGAGAACGGGCAAGGAAAGAGAGAGAGCAAAGGAGAAAACUUGAGGAUGCAGAGCGUGCUUACCAGGCUCGUCUUCGA